This 11378-nucleotide long non-coding RNA is filed under the name Equus caballus (horse). RNAcentral's name for it is "lncRNA (ENSECAG00000047028.1)". The record is from RNAcentral. Lineage: Eukaryota; Metazoa; Chordata; Mammalia; Perissodactyla; Equidae.
AGAUGACUGAACUCAGGGCUCCGGGAGGCGAGGACCAAGGAACCCAGAGCAAAGCCCUCAAAACUUUUAUGCGAAGGGAGAACACUUUCAAGCAUUGCUCAUGGACUCAACACAGCCAAACAAAACAAACUGGAAAAGGAAAAUCAGUGGCCAGAGUGUAGCCAAAGAACAGGAAUCCCCAGCUCACUGCCAGCUCGAUCUUCUGAACUAACGUCACAGGCGUCACACCAGGUACUCACAGCAGUGCAGACGAAGACUCACAACGAGGCCCUCCCCUCCGCAGACACGCAGACUGAGAGCCCAGGCGGUGCUGAGCGGCACAAAGGGUUUGCGUGGAGCCCGUCAUCCUUGAGAAGGUGACGCACUCUCCCAGCCUUGAGAGGUGGAUCGAGGAGGGGGGAGGCAGUCAGAGUGUGUGCGAGGUGCGUGGAGGCGAGCAGUGUUGCAACCCCUCCAGCUCAUCCUCGACAAAGCCGUGUGUGCCCACCACGAGGUGUAGCCGGCCAUAAAGCUGGCGUGUCAGAGGGAACUGUGGCCAGCCAGGGUCGCAAUCAAGGCCUAAACAGCAUGGGCAGCACAGGCAGUUCCCAUGGCCAGCUGGGGGACAGUGGCCUCCACCCUGGGAGCAAUGCAGAGGCCACAAGCCGAGCUGUUGUUACUCUUACAGCAUCUUUCCAGGCAGCGUGUGGGAGUCGGUGAGCGUUGCCCGUGUUGUCAGCUAUUGAGGCCUUUGUACAAAGAUCGUGGAUCAGGCUGCCUAAGCUCUGACUCGGAGACCAGCCACUGCUGCCUGCUCCGUGCACCCUGAACCCGUGGCCUUGCCCCACCUCUUGUUAUUGCCCACCUUAUUCCUUUCCCUCACUGCUCCCCUUGGUGCUGGUCCGUGGUCAGGAGCCCCCACAGCCUGCCCCAACCUUACUUCCCUGGUUCUAUUCAAACAUCCAGACUUAUCCCUUGUCUCAGAAGCCAAUCUUUGACACUAAGUGUCAGUCUAGCUAAGUCUGGGAGGCCGGUCUCACAAAGUCAACCUGCCAGUGCGAUGAUGGAGGAUGACACUGGAUGAGUUACUCCCUCCAGGUAAGAGUUCAUAUUUUUAUUCAUUUAAUUUCUUUGCUGGGGAAGAGUCGCCCUGAGCUAACAUCUUCUCCCAAUCUUCCUCUCUUUCUCUACUUUUCCAUCCCCAAAGCCCCAGUACCUGGUUGUAUAUUCUAGCUGUAAGUCGCUCUAGUUCUUCUGUGAGCCACUGCCACAGCAUGGCUACUGACAGACGGGUGGCAUAGGUCCACACCCAGGAGCCAAACCCAGGCCCCCAAACUGGAGCUGCCAAACUCACCCACUAGGCCAUCAGGGCUGGCUCAAGGGUCUGUAUUGUGACUAAGUCUCCAGGGCGGGCAGUCUUUUACCCCAAAGAGGGACCGGUACUUGGGAAUGUUGUCGCAGCAUCCCUCUCCUUGCGUCCUGGCCAGAACCAGGCACCCAGGCUGGGCUCCUGCUGUUCAGCUCAGCCCCUCGCCCAGUCCAGCUGGGUGCCCGUGUCUAUCUCCACACCCGUGUGUGAGCCCUGGGGGGCAGCGCCCAGCAGGAACCUGCAGUUGCAGAGCUCAGUGAAAGUCGGCUUGAACUCACUCUUUCAACAAAUUUUUGUUGAACUCCAACUGGGAGCAAAUACUGCUGCCUCUGGGAACCAAAGGGGACCUGCUCUGAAGAAGCCACUCCGCCGUGUGCGAGACGGUCAUGCUUUCUGCUUUGACGGGUUUACAUCCAAGCGAGAGAAGAGACGGUCCAGACGUAGGAGUGGAAUUGCUGGCACACGGGGCAGAGGCAUCUUCAGUUAAAAUGGUUGAUGAGUGAUACUGUUCUUACCAACAGCUUUCUGUUCUUUAUAACCAUUUAUAUACUUAUUCUUCUUCUCAUUAUUAUUUAAAAAAUUUCCACCAAUGACUCAUAAAUGAGAAGCAAGUUUGCAUCGCACACUCCAGUACUGCAUAAAUAUUUCCCAGUUACCUUCCUUCCCUUCAAAGGACGAGGCGCCUCAUUUAGCCAGUCUCUGCCCAUCUGGAAUCCAUCCACAUCUGCUAGGGCCUCAUGCGCUCAGCUGGGAGCUGAGUCUUGAGAAGGGUCUGGGGACGAGUCUGCUAAGAACGUAGGGAUUCCCAGGAAGGGAGUAUCCGGUGGUGUCACGACUAGUCUCACAUGUUAAGAGAGCACAUGGACAAAAAUGUGUCCAUGAUUUAUGUUUCUUGACAUAAACUUCACAAUUCAGAAGUUAUAAGCCCAAAGCACACGUGGAGGAGAGGCUGCAGCAGUACUGCCCCCAAAAUGCUACCACUGACCAAAACAGUUCUUCAAAAUCACUCAAUUUUUGCAGCGUUAGUCUAUUUCAUAGCCAUUUGAUAUGUAACAUAGAAGGAUAAAGCACUUUUUAGGGGUUAGUGUUGUUUUAGGUUCUUUAAAUUCAUUAGACCUCUUGACCUUUACUAUAGGCUUUAGGGCGAGGUACCAUUUACAUCCUUUCUACAGAUGAGGGUACGGAUGCUGGGGCUGGGUGGAGGUAAGGAAUCCGCUCAAGAGGAUGCAGCCAGGAAAUGCAGAGGCAGGAUUUCAGACCUACUCUCCUGGGCCCUGGAGCCCCUGGUGUCACAGAGAGAUGACACAGAUUUUCACUUCAAAAAAUACACAAAACCCAUUCCUGCCCAAAGUGGUAACUUGAAUCUCAUCAAGAGAAACCAAACCAAAUCAAGGGACAUCCUUCAAAACAACUGAAAUACGCUCUUCAAAAGUAUCGAUGCACAAAAGACAAGAGCUGAGGAAGUGCUCCUGAUAGAAGGACGCUGAGGAGAUUUGACAGCUAAAGGUCACAUGUCAUACUGGAUUGGGGGAAGAUGCUGUAAAAAGGUUACAGGGACAAUGGGCAAAAUUGAGCACAGAAUGUAUUUUAGCUAAUAGUAUUAAAUCAACAUUAAAUUUCCUGAAUUUAAUCACAGUCAUUAUGAUUAUGAAGGAAACAUCCUUGCUCUUAGGAGAAAUAUUUCUUUAAUGAUUAGGCAUACCGAUUACUCCUAAUAUACCUAUGGAUUACUUGUUGUUUUUAAGAUUGGCACCUGAGCUAACAACUUGCCAAUCAUUUUUUUUUUUGGCUUUUUCUCUCCAAAUUCCCCCAGUAGAUAGUUGUAUAUUUUUAGUUGUGGGUCCUUCUGGUUGUGGCACGUGGGACACCGCCUCAGCAUGGCCUGAUGAGUGGUGCCAUGUCUGCAUCCAGGAUCUGAACCAGCAAAACCUUGGGCUGCCAAAGCAGAGCAUGCAAACUUAACCAUUCGGCCACAGGGCCGGCUCCUUGUUAUUCUUUUUAAAUGACUAUCCUAUUGUUAUCUUUUGGCAAUUUAAAAAUGAAGGUAUGGUAUGAAUAGAUUGAUUUCAAUUUGUUUUUUUUUAAUUAUUUUAUUGAAGUCAUAUCUACUCGUGUAAAUCUCAGGUGUACAUUAUUAUAACUCAGUUUCUGUAUAGACUGCAUCGUGUUCACCAUCAAUAAUCUAGUUUUUAUCUGUUACCGUACAUAUGUGUCCCUUUACCCCUUUUGCCCUUCCCCCACCCCCUUCCCCUCUGGUAACCACUGAUCUGUUCUCUUAUCCCUGUGUUAGUUUCUCUUCUGCAUAUGAGUGAAAUCGUAGAGUGUUUGUUUAAUACCCUCAAAGUCCAUCCAUGGUGCAAAUGGCACAAUUUUGUUUGUUCAUGGCUGAGUAGUAUUCCACUGUAUAAAUAUACCACAUCUUCUUCAUCUGUUCAUCAGUUGAUAGGCACUUGGGUGGCUUCCACAUCUUGGCUGUUGUGAAUGGUGCUGCAAUGAACAUAGGGGUGCAUAAGUCUCUUUGAGUUGUUGAUUUCAAGUUCUGUGGAUGACAAUUUGGUUUUUUUCAAGUGGAAUUUAUUGCAUGCAUACUGAAUGGUUCAUGGAGUCAAGGAAAGAACUGGAACAACCAGGGUAGGGGAAAAAGGAAGUGGCAUUAGAUGACGCCAUUUCUAAGGAUCUGGUGGGCUUCUUCAGGGUGAGCGCCCCAGCCCCUUAAUCACUAAUUGUUCUCUGUAAGGGCUGGGACAACCCCACCUCAUUAAAUGCCGAUUACACUCUUAGUUUCCUAACAUGGCGUGUGUCCCUAAAUUCAAAAUGUCAAGUUACAUUAAAAAUGCAUGAGCUUGCUUUAAUUUAAAGCCUACAGCCUUUGACUAAUUUGGGGGUGAAAGGGAGAAAGUCCCAUUGCAAAAUUUCAAAUUAAAUUGCUGAGGUUGGGGAAGCAGGGAAGGAGCACCCAAGAGCCUGUGGAUAUAAUCUUUUGAGACUCAGCCUGAGGAGGACUCUUCCGUGAGGCCCUCUCAGGUGCUCAGCUUGCCCAGAGCCCCUCCUGGGUGGUCCAGCAGCUCUUCUGUGGCACUUACUGAGUCAUCUUGUCAGGGGCCGUCUGGGUGUGCGUCUCCCCGUGACUGUACGUGUAACAAGGAAAGUCUCUGGCACUUAUUUCCUUUGGCUUUCAGGGCCUGACUUAGUGCCUGGCAUGGAGGGGGAAGCCAUAAAUAUUUAAGUUAAACUAAAUUUCUUUUAAAAAAUAGCUUGUCCAGAGGCCUCCUGUGUCUCUGCCUAGAUCUAAGAGUCAGGGUCUGAGGACUCCGCCGGCCACCGUGCUCACCGCUGUGUUUUAGACAGAAUUCUAAUAAGCUCAUCUGAUGUCCUGCCUGCAGUAAGAACAAGAACUUGGAACAAAGAAAGAGGGAAUGUAGUCUGCUCCUGGAAGAGAACGUUCACAGCAGCACUAAGGAAAAUCCUAAUGGAGACGAGGGGAAGAAAGUCAGGAACAGCGUGAGAGUCUGGAAAUAGGGACCCUGGUUGACAUCUCUUAAGGACCCUGCUGAUUCACCAAAAGACGGGGGGACCGUGCACCACGGGCUCUGGUGCAGAGGCAGAGAAGGGUACAGUCUUCUCAAAGGUUAAAAGAAAAUGUUAUGGAACAUUUAAAUUGGUUCUUUUUGGACAUGUCACCGUGUCCAAAGUGUAACAGAUGGGAGCUGCUGUGCGUUUUCAUUAAUCGUUGUUUUCGUGAACGUUCGGACGGUCCCUGCUUCUAAUUUUAAAGCAGACGAACAGAACAUUCUGUAUUUCUAAAAGAUCCCACCAAACGUGAAUUACUUUUGUGGCCCUCGACCAAGUUUUGUCAGAAAUAAAACCUGACUCUCCUCAGGCAGCUUUGUGACUCCCCAGGAAGAGACGAGAGCCAGGCUCCCAGCGUCCCCACCUCCUGAAGGAGACACUGCGGGCACAGGCAGCCUUUGCCGGCCUCCAUCCUCCCAGGAAAUAAAGACCCGGAGUCGCUGGGAUCAUGGACGCAGAGCCCCAACCCGUGACCACAGAGCGGUUCACCCCCACAGCCCCACGGGGCCUUGUGGGAGCCCUGCCUCAGGUCCGGUGCGCACGGGAAGCCCUGGGCCACACCCGACUUCCCAGAGCUCGGAAACAUCUGUGCUGCCUCCCGGCUCCUGGUUCCUUGGGCGAGAAGCCUCGCGCAGAACAGCCUGGGACCUGAGGCUCCAGCCUUCCAGGGAUCAGGCGCUGCCCCCUCCCCUCCACGUCCAGCCACCCCGCUGGCCAGCUCGCUGCCUCCCCCAGCUCUUGGGACCCCUCCCGGGAAGUCAGGGCCUUGAUGAGCUCCAGGGUUCUGCCCAGUUUCUCGGGCCUUGGCCCCCAAGCCACUGCUCCUCUUUGCCAGAGCUGGUGCUCUGCGGCCAAGGGACCACUGGACUGCUGCUCACCUCAGGGUCAGGCUGCGUCAGAGGACUGUGGGGAGAACAGCGGCCCCCAAGGGAGAUGCCCCAGGCCAGGCAGCCUCCAGGAUCAGAACCCAGCAGCGGCCUGGCGUGGACUCCACUGGACGUUUUGAGAACCGAGGACUUGGUGACUAGAUACUUCUGUCAGCCUUGCCCUCCCAUAGCUACACUUUACCAAUUUUUGGAAUAAACAAUUGCCACUACCUGAGCACAUCGCAAGUCUCUAUACGGUUUUACAAAUCUGGGGCAUUUAACGUAAUUUUCCAUAUUCUUAACUCAGCGACUGAGAGGUUCAGAGAUUAGAACAAUCUUUGGAAAAUACAUUCCUCAGAGGUCCAGCGUCUGCUCAACUGGGAACAACUUUGAAAAAAGGCAGAAGGGCAGAUGUGAGCUAUGAGGAGAGGGAAAAGACGGGAGGAACGGGAUACGAGGUUGCUCAUGCCAAGAUGUGAAUGGGCCAAAAAGCCCCAGUGCCUCCUAAUUUCUUACGUGCCUGCACUUCCUUCCGGCCAGUGCUCCCCAGGGAGUUUCCUCCAACGCCUCCAUCGGUCCCCGGGCCUCGCAGCAGCCGUGCUGUGUGGUCCGCACACAGGCGAUCUCGGGAAUACUGGGUUGGCACCAGCAGGAGAACUGUUCGUACGGACACCCGAGCCCACCGGAAAGACAUGGGGAAGGGCACCACGGGCCUGCUCUCUGGGCUGGACGCUGGGAUUAACCCUCCAGAGAAGCAGAAGAGGCCAGGGCUGCCCCCACCCCCAGGACGGAGAGCCCGCAGGACGGCAGGGACCUCUCUGGGAGCGGCCUCGGCUUGCGAGCCCCCAGGCGCUCAGUAAUGGAGAGAUUCUGAGUGUAACACUGCCCGGUGACUGGAAGAGAUGUCACCGUCACCAGCUGUGGAUGCUGGGUGGCAGCAGGAGGGAAUGAAGCCCGUGGACAAAAACCAAGAGAGAGACUGACGUGAAGUGAGGCCCUGAGGGUCCUGCUGGGGGCCUGGAUCCACGGCUGGACCCCAGGGUGGAAGGUCGCUCAGUUAACCUGACGUGAGUUGAUUUUCCUUCAUGUACGACCAGAAUGAACCGACGGACUCAGCGGUCUCCGACAUUACUUUUGAGAGCAGAACCACAGAAAGGAGAGCUCGUAACUCAAAAAGGCUCAGAGAAACAGAAGGCACAAAGGAUUGUGGAGAGGGGCUCUUGUUCCCGUGAUACAAGUUGUAUAAUAAAUAGUCACAGCACCUGACUGUCUCUGUCAUUACACGCAUGACGCUCUUCUGAAGGCCUCUAUGUAUUAAUUCACUUAAUCCUCCUAAGAACCCCAUGAGGCCAGUGCUAACAUCAUUAUCCCCACUGAACAGAUGAGGGAAAUCGAGGCGCAGAGAGGUUCAGUAACUUGCCUAAUGCAGCACAGCCAGGAAACAGAAGACAGGGGUGCUGAGUCAAGGUGGCCUGGCUCCCCAGCCGUGACCCUGCUCACACGUCCUGUCCCAGGAAGCGGCUGCUGACGGUGACCGGUGGGCUGGAGGUCCUGCUGUCGAGGUUGGGCUUCCUCUGACCGGUGGCUUCGUCUCCUGGUGGCCGACUCCUUCGGAGAACCAGCCACCUGGAAAACGAAAGGCAGACGGCAAAGCCUGCUGAAUUCAGUGGAUCGUCUGUGCUUAGGAUGGAGAACGAUCAACCGGUUCACUCACUCCUAAAACAUUUUAAGAACAAAGCUUGUGGAACCUGUCAAAAAAGAAAUCACAGACAGAAACUCCACUUGGGUCUACAUUUUGGCCAAUUAACAUGAAAAAAAAUACGAAGAAGGAAGGAGGAGGUGACGAAAGAAGAGAAAGGGACCAGGACUGACGAAGCGGUGCAGAGACGGAGGCAGAGGAGCGCCUGCGCGGAGCAAUUGAGAAAGAAAGGAACGACAGUCCAGGUUAGACACCCGGACAGAGACAGAGAGAGCUGGGGGCACAGAAACACAAACCCCCCCAGGAGUGGGCAGGGCCAGCGGUCAGGGCCCUGAGCAGCCGCGUCUCUGCUGCCCGUCCCUGGAGCGAACGCAGCGCCCGCCACGGAGAGCACCCUGGGAGGAGCCGGCGGCGCAGGAGUGGAAGGUGGACAGCGACCCGGGGCGACGCGGACAGGGAGCACGGCUGUGCGGCUCUUAGCACGUAGAGCCUGGGAUCAGGGGGACUCGGGUCGGAUCUUGGCUUUGUGGCUUCAAAUUUCUGUGAUUUGGGUAAUGUUCCCAUAACUUUUGAUCUUUUUGUGUGUCAGUUUCUUCAUAUGUGAAAGUAAGGCUAUGCUCCAGAUAUUGAGCUGUUUUUCUCUUUUCUCCCCACCACCCUUCCACACUCUGCUUUGUGAGGCUCUGGCUGGCCCUCUGAAGACCACGUUUCAGGUUUGCAAACUGGCUUCCUAGCCCUGCUGACCGUGGGCACCAGGAGGACACUGGAGGGACCAAGAAUGACGAAGGGACUUGUCCGUCCUUGUCCAGGCCCCCGCUCGUCUUCCUGCUCCUGAGAGCCUCAUGUCCCCAAAGCUUUUCCUUCGUAGCCACAGCAACUAAACCCAGUUUGCAGUUUUCCGGCACCCACAGGGCCAGCUUCCCUGAGCCCCCAGAGCCCCCAGCACCAGCGGAGGCCUGAGGCUCCCUGCUCUGCACACCUGGGUUUUGAUGGUCCCAGCCUCCGCCCGCGCCCUCCCAGCCUGGGGACAGCGGCUGCUCCUACAGUUGCUGCCUCCUUGAUAGCUUAGAGGCCCCUUUUUACCCUUCUAGUUACUAGUUAUCAGCUAUGUACCUGGUUGACAACUUUGUUUUCCAUUUUCUCUGUUUAAAGAACUAGUAUGGUUUCUGUCUCCUGCCUGGACCCUAAUUGAAACAGGAUAACAACACCUACUUCAUGGAGGCGUGAGGGUGGACUGAAGAGGGCUCAGAACAUAGCCCGGCUGUGGCAAGGCGCAGGCAGCGUGAGCUCCAUAAUCCACAGGGACAGCAGAACGUUAGACAGCAGUGCCGGCGUGACACAGGUGCCUCCCACGGAGGACCCUGACUUCACCACCUCUGAAGAUGCCGACAGGAACCAGAACCCAUCCAGCAAACCUACCCAGAAAAACAGUAAGAUGGGCAAAGUCACAUUUGCGACUUUUUAUCUUUUUUAAAGAAUUUUAUAGAAUACGGAAGUAGGUUGAGUAACGCUUGCAGUUUAUUUCCAAAAAUCAGGCUAAUGCAGGGCACCUGCGUCACAUGAGCCAACGUGUGUCCUUGGGCUCCCACGACUGACACACCGGAGAGUCCGAGCGCCGAGCAGCAUCUCCACCCCUGGAGCGGGCGGGACAAAGCUGGGCGCUCUGCUUCAAAUCAGCCCUUUUUUACAAGGCACAGAAAUUAAUUCUUGAGAGGACAGUAACUCCUGGCGGGAAGAAAAUUAUUGACGUUUUGUGUGUAUGUCUGUGUGUGUAUUUAUGGAAGUAAUAUUCAGAAAUGGAAAAAACCCAUAAGUUACAAGGUUAAAUUAAUCCUAGGAGAUUGUCUUAAUUUCUGUAAUUAUCUUACCACUACCUUAGUAAAAAAAAAAUCUCAUGAAGCAAAUACAAAAUGUUAAUAUUGUCGGAUCUAAGUGAGAUAUUUUGUUAUUAACAAUUUUGUUUAGAUGCCUAAAAGCGAUAGUAUGACUAAAUAAAAGAUAGCUUCUCAAGAAGAACAUAAAUAACUUUCCUCAGCUUGAUCUCUAAGAUAAAUCAGAGGGAUGGUGACCUGGGUGCACCUGAGUGGCGUCCUGACGAUGAUUUUCCAGUUAGGUCGGCCCUGACCACAGAUGAUCCUCCACUUGGCUUGGAAACAAGCUCAAUCUAUCUGUGCCAGUAAAACUCAGAAGUCCAGGCACACAUUGCAGGGAAAGCCUAGCUCAACCUUGAAGACCAGGAUAAACAUUCGCUGGCUUAUGGAGAAGGCUGAUUUGUCCCCGUGGGCAGCUGGCUCUUUAAACGAUAAAGUGGCAUGCCAGCUUACCCUUGAAAAGGGUCAAGCAUGGCGAUGGAUCCCGGUGUCAAAAGAAGCACCAGCUGUGGGAUGGGGAUGAUUGAGAAGACUGAGGGUAUCCAGAGCUGGUGAGAGGUGGGGAAACAGGCCCACACGUGCAUUUCUGGCAGGAGGGUAAAUUGGUGCAAUCUUCCUGGGGGAACAUUCGGCAGCAUGCAGAAAAGCCUUUUCUAAAAGCCUUUGACUUAGGAGUCCCACUCCUAGAAAUCUGCCCUACGUAAAGAUUGGGUAAAUGUGUUAGGAUGAACACACAGGAUGUGAACUACUGCAGAGUUUAUAGUGCUGAUCAAUUUGAAAUAACCUGAACAUUUAUCACUAGGAAUUUGGUUAAAUAACUAUGGCGUAUCGACACAGUGAAAACCACAAGGUCACUAACCAGAACGAUAUGGGUCUACAUUUAUAGAUAUGGAAAGACAGACGUUUAUAUGUUGCUAAGGGGGAAAAAACCACGUGUCCUCUGAUUCUAUUGGGGACAUGUGUGUGUGUGCGUGCGUGUGUGUGCAUGCACACAGGAAAAAGUGUGACCAGUGUAAUGUUUACAGCAAUUAUUGCUGAGUAGAAUCAACUUAAUUUUAAUUUUAUAUUUCUCUGAACGUUCUGAAUUUUUCAGGAAUAUGUAAGUAUUAUUGUCUUAAUUAGAAAAAAAUUUGCAUAAACAAAAAUUCUCCAAGAACUGGCCAGUGAUGUCCGCUUGUCCUCUUCCUUUAUGCUGAGCCCUCUAGUUACUUCUGACACAGCUGCUUUCCUCACGACGUCUGCUCAUCGGUCCCCUACCGCAGGGUUCUCAGAGGCUGAUGUGUUCAGGCAUUUGCACUUUGUUGAGGCUCUUAGCAUACAUAUAUGUGUGUUUCUUUAAAGGAGAAAUGACAAAAGAGAGAUACAAGAUUUGUCGUCUGUUGUAACUGUCUACACUUAACAAAUUAACCCUUUUAUCGUCAGGAAGGACAUUCCACGCAAUUCUACGUAAGUUUCAUUUGCAGCAGCGGACCACAGACUGCGGUGACGGCCACAUAAAGCCGUGUUCUUCCUCCCCGGCCCCAUGAGUGUCUCCAGGCCCGGCUGUAUGCUCCUCUGGAGAUGAUGUAAGAGAUCAAAAUACCCCAAAUUGAAAUCUGAGGCCCUUGGGAAUGUGUGCCUGGAGUCACGUGACCCUCCUGACAUCCUCGUCACAGCUCUGCCCCUGUCCCAUGCUGGACGGUCAGGCGAUGGCAGUCUCUCCUCUACCCAGCCCCGCUGUCCCUCCUUCGGCUUUUCCUGGACCGGGCGCUGAGUCUGGGCCUACAGCUCCCUACAUGCACUCUAGGUGCUGCUGGGCUAUUUCCGCCCCACGGCCUUCACGCCGGAGAGCCCACCAGCCCAGCCGCCUGCUGCAGGACGCUGAGGCCAACACCACCCCAUGCGCUGAGGUUUCUCUGCUGCCUGCAGAACGAAACUCUGGAAACAGUGACUCAGGAGCCGUGUCAAGACAGCAGCAUCCAAGAUGGGGAACCACAGGCCAGGCUGGACCAGGAACCUUCGACAGCCACCCAUGUUCAGGAAAC